This 274-nucleotide ribosomal RNA is filed under the name uncultured bacterium. Its description in RNAcentral is "partial 16S ribosomal RNA". It matches the Rfam family "Bacterial small subunit ribosomal RNA", at positions 523 to 796 of the family's 1533-position model. The record is from RNAcentral.
AUACGUAGGUCCCGAGCGUUGCGCGGAGUCACUGGGCGUAAAGCGUCCGCAGCCGGCUCCGUAAGCGGGAUGUCAAAGCCCACGGCUCAACCGUGGAACGGCAUCCUGAACUGCGGAGCCUGAGGCACGCUCAGGCAGGCGGAAUUCCCGGGGUAGCGGUGAAAUGCGUAGAUCUCGGGAGGAACACCGAAGGGGAAGCCAGCCUGCUGGAACUGUCCUGAUGGUCAGGGACGAAAGCCAGGGGAGCGAACCGGAUUAGAUACCCUAGUAGUCC